Molecule: long non-coding RNA, 1117 nt
Filed under: Papio anubis (olive baboon)
Lineage: Eukaryota; Metazoa; Chordata; Mammalia; Primates; Cercopithecidae
Description: lncRNA (ENSPANG00000039858.1)
Source: RNAcentral
AUGAGGAUCACUGGGCACUCUGUUUACCCGGGGGCGGGGAACUGGCUUCCAGGAGGCUUAGUGACUGACCGAGGUCUUGAGGUCUCGAGGUCUCGUGCUGGUGAAGUGCAGAGCCAGGAUCCGCCUGAGGCCGCCAGCUGGCUCCAGAUCCCACACUCCUUCCUCGGCACUUCCUCGGUUCUGCACGGUGCCUUAACACUCCCCAAAACACCCAAUUUUGCAGGUGUGGAAACCCACGUCCCGCAGAGGCUGGGUGUUUGCUCCACUCAGUUCUGGGGACUUAGCUUAAGGCUCUCUGAUCUGUUCUCUGUGGCCCGGGCAGGAGCCCCUGUUGACUGGCCCAGUGAAAGCACCCCAGCAGCCGCUACCCAGACAGCAGCUGCAAAGCCAACACACAAAUGCCACAGGUAGGGAAAACAACCCCUGCAGACCUCAAGCCUCUUCCUCCUGCCCAAUACUGUUCUCUAGAUUCAGAAAUAAAAUAAAACCCUUGGGAGAGCAGCAGUCCCGGCCAGCCCUCGGCAGCACCAGGACCAAAGGAUAUGUACAACCAUUAGGUGAGAUAGUUACAUUACAGUCAAACACCAAGAACAUUUACAAAAUCGGCAGACUUGCAAUUAAGAUAAAAAUCUGUGAAGAGUCUGUACACUUUUACAGUUUUUGCACUAGGUAAAUAAGGCUCUCGGCCUGAGAGCUCACCGACCCCUGCAAGGGCAGCUGGCACCGGCCACAGCGGGUGGCCUCCGAGCCCACCUGUCCAGGCCCUGGGAGCCUCCCCAUAUUGCUAAGGGGGCUCUGUCCGAGGUCACUCUACGAGGCAGCGGUGGGAGGGGGCUGGGGAGAGGAGGGCAGGGCUCACUGGGCAGUGGGAGGAUGAGAUCGGAGCCAGGCCCUGCCUGUGUGGUCACCCUGGUCUCAGGCACGAAGGCGCAUGGGUGGGGACAAGACAGGAGUGGGGCAGGAAGGGGUGGGGGCAGGGCCUCUGCUCCUGCCUCCCAUCUUCCUGUGGUCUGUGACCGCUGGUGGCCCAGCCCUCCCUCCACCAGCAUCUGUCUCUAGCCUAACUGAAUUGUAGGUUACAUCUAAGAGCCCCCUUCCCAGAGCAGCUGCUGUCACC